UCCGUAGGUGAACCUGCGGAAGGAUCAUUAAAUGAUAGUACUGGCCCUAAGGUGUGGUAAUACAUGCCUGUGGGCUUUACGUCUAUUACCCUUGUUUUUCGAGUACCUAUGUUUCCUUGGUGGGCUUGCCCGCCAAUUGGACACCCUAUUAAACCUUUUUAAUUUUUAAUCAGCGUCUGAAUAAACUUAAUAAUUACAACUUUCAACAACGGAUCUCUUGGUUCUGGCAUCGAUGAAGAACGCAGCGAAAUGCGAUAAGUAGUGUGAAUUGCAGAAUUCAGUGAAUCAUCGAAUCUUUGAACGCACAUUGCGCCCCUUGGUAUUCCAUGGGGCAUGCCUGUUCGAGCGUCAUUUGUACCCUCAAGCUAUGCUUGGUGUUGGGUGUUUGUCCUCUCCAUUGCGUUUGGACUCGCCUUAAAGCAAUUGGCAGCCAGUGUUUUGGUUUUAAGCGCAGCACAUUUUGCGUCUUACUCCCUUGAAUACUAGCAUCCAUUAAGCCUUUUUAUUACUUUUGACCUCGGAUCAGGUAGGGAUACCCGCUGAACUUAAGCAUAUCAAUAAGCGGAGGAAGUCGA
This 575-nucleotide ribosomal RNA is filed under the name uncultured fungus. RNAcentral's name for it is "eukaryotic LSU rRNA". The stretch from base 198 to 351 matches the Rfam family "5.8S ribosomal RNA". Lineage: Eukaryota; Fungi. The record is from RNAcentral.